Molecule: ribosomal RNA, 448 nt
Filed under: uncultured bacterium
Lineage: Bacteria
Description: bacterial SSU rRNA
Rfam family: Bacterial small subunit ribosomal RNA
Source: RNAcentral
CUUCCAGACUCCUACGGGAGGCAGCAGUGGGGAAUAUUGCACAAUGGGGGAAACCCUGAUGCAGCGACGCCGCGUGAGUGAAGAAGUAUUUCGGUCUGUAAAGCUCUAUCAGCAGGGAAGAAAAAAGACGGUACCUGACUAAGAAGCCCCGGCUAACUACGUGCCAGCAGCCGCGGUAAUACGUAGGGGGCAAGCGUUAUCCGGAAUUACUGGGUGUAAAGGGUGCGUAGGUGGCAUGGUAAGUCAGAAGUGAAAGCCCGGGGCUUAACCCCGGGACUGCUUUUGAAACUGUCAUGCUGGAGUGCAGGAGAGGUAAGCGGAAUUCCUAGUGUAGCGGUGAAAUGCGUAGAUAUCAGGAGGAACACCAGUGGCGAAGGCGGCUUACCGGACUGUCACUGACACUGAUGCACGAAAGCGUGGGGAGCAAACAGGAUUAGAUACCCUUGUA